GUCAAAUCAGGAGACUUUCUUCCGAGCAAACAGGAUACUGCAAGUGAAAGAAACGUUUCUAAAAAGCAUUGUCUGUGGCGGUUUAGUUGGAUCAAUUGCAAGCCCAAGUGUUGUAUCAUGUGCUGCUGCUGCAACCAAAUGUAGGAAAGGGAACAUUGUAGCUUUGGGAUUGGCAUUUCUGAUUGGUGGACUUCUGAUCAUUGUUCAUAAUGCACCUCAAAUGAAAGAAAUGUAGAAGCAGAUUGAUACAAAGAACUACUGGGCGAGCGAGAAAAUUUGUUACUCCAUUCAACAAUUGCUGUGUUAUCUUUCUUAGUUUUCGGCUAUAUCCCUCCUGUAACAUAUGGCUUGUCAUUUUGGAGGAGUGACAAUAGGGACCUAAAGCUCGUAGCAGUUGCAGCAGCUUCUCUUCUGUGCAUCGCUAUACUAGCAUUUGGAAAGGCUCGCAUGCGAAGGCCUCCCAAGUUCUACAGGCAUUUCAAGUCUCUACUGUACUAUGUCAGUAAUGGCAUUUUAUUUCUUUAUAGGUUGUAUAUAUGUUUCUUUUCACUUAAUUUGUUCUUCCUUGGUCUUGUAAGUUUGGAGGUAGUGCAUUGAUGUCAUGGGAUCAAAUGUUUGGUCAUAAUAGUUAUUUG
Long non-coding RNA from Cornus florida, 635 nucleotides. RefSeq lists it as uncharacterized. NCBI's taxonomy places the organism in Eukaryota, Viridiplantae, Streptophyta, Magnoliopsida, Cornales, Cornaceae. The transcript is spliced from 3 exons. The record is from RefSeq and is a predicted model, not a curated record.